This 245-nucleotide ribosomal RNA is filed under the name uncultured Pedobacter sp. Its description in RNAcentral is "partial 16S ribosomal RNA". It matches the Rfam family "Bacterial small subunit ribosomal RNA", at positions 524 to 768 of the family's 1533-position model. The record is from RNAcentral. Lineage: Bacteria; Pseudomonadati; Bacteroidota; Sphingobacteriia; Sphingobacteriales; Sphingobacteriaceae.
UACGGAGGAUCCAAGCGUUAUCCGGAUUUAUUGGGUUUAAAGGGUGCGUAGGCGGCCUGUUAAGUCAGGGGUGAAAGACGGUAGCUCAACUAUCGCAGUGCCCUUGAUACUGAUGGGCUUGAAUGGACUAGAGGUAGGCGGAAUGUGACAAGUAGCGGUGAAAUGCAUAGAUAUGUCACAGAACACCGAUUGCGAAGGCAGCUUACUAUGGUCUUAUUGACGCUGAGGCACGAAAGCGUGGGGAU